RNAcentral lists this small nucleolar RNA (135 nucleotides) under Echinops telfairi (small Madagascar hedgehog). The record is from RNAcentral. Lineage: Eukaryota; Metazoa; Chordata; Mammalia; Afrosoricida; Tenrecidae.
AGUGGCCCUUAUCGAAGCUGCAGUUGCUUCCACCGAUGCUGCGGUAGUCAAAAAAGAGCCCAGGGUGAGUUUUCCCUUGACGGUCGCCGUUCAGUGUGCUAUAACCAACCUGCAACAUUUCAGGAAAAGACAUUU